UACGUAGGUGGCAAGCGUUGUCCGGAUUUAUUGGGCGUAAAGAGCGUGUAGGCGGCCAUGUAGGUCCGGUGUGAAAACUCGAGGCUUAACCUCGAGAUGUCAUCGGAAACCAUUUGGCUAGAGUCCGGAAGAGGAGAGUGGAAUUCCUGGUGUAGCGGUGAAAUGCGCAGAUAUCAGGAAGAACACCAAUGGCAAAAGCAGCUCUCUGGGACGGUACUGACGCUGAGACGCGAAAGCGUGGGGAGCGAACAGG
RNAcentral lists this ribosomal RNA (253 nucleotides) under uncultured bacterium. RNAcentral describes it as "partial 16S ribosomal RNA". It matches the Rfam family "Bacterial small subunit ribosomal RNA", at positions 524 to 776 of the family's 1533-position model. The record is from RNAcentral.